GCCUAGCCCUAAACCUUGGUAAUAUAUCACAUACCCUACCCGCCUGGGAACUACGAGCACCAGCUUAAAACCCAAAGGACUUGGCGGUGCUUUAGACCCCCCUAGAGGAGCCUGUUCUAGAACCGAUAACCCCCGUUCAACCUCACCCUUCCUUGUUUAUCCCGCCUAUAUACCGCCGUCGUCAGCUUACCCUGUGAAGGCCUAAAAGUAAGCACAACUGGUACAACCCAAAACGUCAGGUCGAGGUGUAGCGCAUGGAGGGGGAAGAAAUGGGCUACAUUCCCUAUAUUAGGGAACACGAACGGCGCACUGAAACACGCGCCUGAAGGAGGAUUUAGUAGUAAGCGGGAAAUAGAGUGUUCCGCUGAAAUCGGCCCUGAAGCGCGC
RNAcentral lists this ribosomal RNA (387 nucleotides) under Sebastes variegatus (harlequin rockfish). Its description in RNAcentral is "partial 12S ribosomal RNA". It matches the Rfam family "Bacterial small subunit ribosomal RNA", at positions 794 to 1384 of the family's 1533-position model. The record is from RNAcentral. RNAcentral also lists the same sequence under 2 other names. Lineage: Eukaryota; Metazoa; Chordata; Actinopteri; Perciformes; Sebastidae.